Molecule: transfer RNA, 68 nt
Filed under: Acantholachesilla sp. AcspLA
Lineage: Eukaryota; Metazoa; Arthropoda; Insecta; Psocodea; Lachesillidae
Description: tRNA-Asn
Source: RNAcentral
UUAAUUAAAGCCAAAAUGGAGGCUUAUCAUUGUUAAUGAUAUCAUUGAAUAAUAAUUUUCUAAUUAAA